This is a long non-coding RNA of Orcinus orca (killer whale), 2063 nucleotides long. RefSeq lists it as uncharacterized. The transcript is spliced from 9 exons. The record is from RefSeq and is a predicted model, not a curated record. NCBI's taxonomy places the organism in Eukaryota, Metazoa, Chordata, Mammalia, Artiodactyla, Delphinidae.
CCUACAAAUUCACCUUUAUUUAUUUAUUUAAAACCUUACAUAUUUUUUAUUAUUUUUUUUGGCAGUUUCACGGCUUGCGGGACCUUAGUUCCCUGACUAAGGAUUGAACCUGCGCCCCCUGCAGUGGAAGCGCGGAGUCUUAACCACUGGACCGCCAGGGAAGUCCCACAAACUCACCUUUAAAAGAAGGGAGCCUCAAUAAUGUCUUGUAUUUAAAUUCCAUUUCCCAAUGCUUACGGUUGACAUUCAUCUAAUUAGUGAUCUGAUUCAAUCCAAAACAUUUUUAUGGGAUGCCUAUUGUGUGCCCAGCAGAAAUACACUCUGAAACUAAAAAUCUUUUUUUAUUGACUGAAUUAUAGUUGACUUAAAAUAUUAUAUUUGAAACUAAAAAUCUUUUAUAUUGGAUAAACAUAAUGAGAAUUUAUAUCCCAGUAUUGCAAAUAUUGAGUAAAGACCUUGCUGUUUCAGUAAAAAUCAAUUUAAAAGGAUUUUUUUCCCCAUUCCUUCCAAAACAACCUAGAAGAUAAUGGCAUUUCUCCCUUAAACAUUAUAUAAGAAAAUCUCCUUUACAUUAAUAAAGUAAGAGACAGAAUUUUUUAAUUUACUUUUUUCCUUUGAGCAAAGAUUUUUUCUAUUUUUAUUAAAUUUUAAUGAAAAAUAAUAAAUACACUGCUUAAAACCAACUGAAACAUUAGAAAAGGAUAUCCAGUGGGAAGUAGGUCCACACCUCUCAGAAGUGUUCCAGGCACAUACAAACAUGUGUUUUAUAUCAAUUUAUAGCUCCAUCUUUGCACAUCAUCUUAUUCUCUGCUUUUUUUCACAGGUGCCAUGUAUUCUUCUGUGCCCUGAUGUUUUUCACUUAAGUAAUUUUGGAGGUUUUCCCAGAACAGUACAUGUAGAUCAAGCUCACUUUCAAUGCUGCAUGGUAUUCCAGGAUGGAGAUCUGGGGAGACAGAGUGGUAAGAAGAAUGGAAACGAUCUUUCCUGAUUGAUAUUAUUGUGGUCAGUCUUCUCCAGACUCGGCAGAUAUUUUAAGGCACUUCAGCUGAGUCCUGUGCAUGCUAAGGUCUGAGAACUCUGACCUUGAGAGAAGGAGAGGCUGGGAAGCCUUAGAAGGGACCCUGUAACAUUGCUAAGGAAGAUGGUUAUUGGAGAAUGACUGUGGAUUCUUAUGGAAUCAUUCAGGUACCGGACCAGAUGUAGCCUCUUUACUGGAUAACACAACAGUGCUUCUGGUACUUUGAAGGCAACCAUUGAUCUGGCGGUUGCUUUUUUUCCUCAACACCAAAUUAGCAAAGAUCCCCAGGUGGAGUUUGCUCCCAAUUAGCAGGAUCAGCAAAACACCCUCCCUGUCUUACCUCAGACCUCUGUGACUCUUCCGCUGUCUGACAACAUCCAGUCUGCAGGGGCCUUGAUCAUCUUGAUAUUCCCCAGAACACCAUGCUAAUAUAUUACAUUAUUGACACGACAUCGCCAGAUAUCCUAGGGGGAGCAAAACUGCUGUCACUUGAGAAUCGCUGGCCUACAGCAUGUCUAGCAAUACACUGAUCUACCAAGCCAUACGGCUGGCGUACACAGCAGCAAUUGUCGUCCAGUGUAGGCAGUGUACACCAGACUGGAGUUGAGCAGGUCCUGAAUGUGCAGAUGGUGGAGGAAGAAACUGUUUGGACCAGGUUCACAUAUGGUCCCUUACAAUUUGAAGGCAUCAGAUAGAUGUGGACUGUAGAAGCAUUAUAGCCCAAAGCAGGAAUGCGUUGUGAAGCAGAGGAAGGUGCUAUUAGAAGUACCAGGUCUGACAUCAACACGAAUUGGUUUUACCUCUUGCUGGAAAGUAGCUGAUCCAUCAAUAAGGAUCCCAUCCUCUUUCAAAAAUGAAUCGUUUAAUCAUGUCAAAAGAUCUCAAAGGCUGAUCAUAGGGCAAAAUGUGGCCUCCACCUCGAACAAUUACCUUAAAGAAGAAAAACAGAAGAAAAACUGAAAUCUAGACAAUCGGAUAUUCCAGAUAAAUGGAAAGUUUUAAUUUGGAUUUAAGUAUUCUUAAAGCUUACAUGAAAUAAAGAACA